UCUGCCCCUAGAGUCUUUGUAGGUGUGGCUCCUGUGUCACGUGUAUGUCAGCAGGUAACAGUGAAGAGAGAGGCUGUGUCUGUGCUCAGUGUUCUGACCUGUAAACAUCUGAAGAGUCCCUGAAAAA
Molecule: small nucleolar RNA, 127 nt
Organism: Apodemus sylvaticus (European woodmouse)
Lineage: Eukaryota; Metazoa; Chordata; Mammalia; Rodentia; Muridae
Product: small nucleolar RNA SNORA17
Exons: 1
Source: RefSeq, a predicted model, not a curated record